RNAcentral lists this RNase P RNA (374 nucleotides) under Corallincola sp. RNAcentral describes it as "RNase P RNA component class A". It matches the Rfam family "Bacterial RNase P class A". From Rfam's summary of the family: Ribonuclease P (RNase P) is a ubiquitous endoribonuclease, found in archaea, bacteria and eukarya as well as chloroplasts and mitochondria. Its best characterised activity is the generation of mature 5'-ends of tRNAs by cleaving the 5'-leader elements of precursor-tRNAs. Lineage: Bacteria; Pseudomonadati; Pseudomonadota; Gammaproteobacteria; Alteromonadales; Psychromonadaceae. The record is from RNAcentral.
GGAGUCGGCCAGACGAUCGCUGCUUCGUCGUUGUCCUUUCGGGGAUACGGGCGGAGGGGAGGAAAGUCCGGGCUCCAUAGGGCAGGGUGCCAGGUAACGCCUGGGCGGCGCAAGCCGACGACUAGUGCAACAGAGAGCAAACCGCCGAUGGCCCGCUUGCGGGAUCAGGUAAGGGUGAAAGGGUGCGGUAAGAGCGCACCGCGCGGCUGGCAACAGUUCGUGGCACGGUAAACUCCACCCGGAGCAAAACCAAAUAGGAACCCACUGGCGCGGCCCGCGUUGGGUUCGGGUAGGUUGCUUGAGACGUACGGCGACGUACGUUCCAGAUGAAUGAUCGUCCUCGACAGAACCCGGCUUAUCGGCUGGCUCCACAU